CAGAGAUUCAGCUUUCUCCAUCUCUGCUGCCCUUUCCAUCACUCCUCCAUAUCUCCUUCUUGGGUUUUCAAUUUAAAAUAUCCGCCCUGAGUCUGAACAUCCAAGACAUAAUGGACUUGCCUGUCGGGCUGUAGGGGGCAUCAUCAGAACUUUUUCUUUUCUUUGAUCGUGAUUUGAAUACUGGAUUAUCUUCAUCGGAUUCCAAAGAUGGGUAAACUAAACCAGGAACAAAAAAUAGCUUUUAUUGCAGCAGUAUUAAACAGGAGUUUGAGGGAGGGGAAAAAACAAGGCUGGAUUAAAGCACAGGCUCACUGCAGGCCAGUGCCGAGGACCCCUGCUCCUGGACUGAUGUGAUCACAUCAGAAUCUCAACUUCAUUUUAAAAAAGGCAAGAACAGGGAUUCAGAAUUGCUGCUUUCUGUAGACUACAAUGGACUUCUUACUCCCCCCGAUCCCAAUAUAUGCUCCUGGAACAGAAGUCAGGAUCUACUGAAAAGGAAGAGGAAGGAAGGCCUUCCUUACGUUCGAGUACUGGCUGAAAGGACUGCUAUAUCAGGAGGUCAGAGCUGCUUGGAAGAGAGCUGAGGUGAGAAUAAGGUGGGAUCUAAGUACUUCCAGACAGAGGGUAAAAUGAGAUGUUUCAGUUAGAGGGGAAAGUGAUGGAAUAUUAACUCUGAGUGCUCACAGGACUAAGAAGCAAAUGUCCUUGUCCUCUGACUCUGUUGGCCUAAAAACCCUUUCACUACAUCUUUGCAAGUAAAUUGCAGUCACACAAGAGUCUAUUCUCCAUCCAUAUUGAAUCCUUCAUUAGCAUCAAAGGAAGUUAGUUAUACCCCUAUAUUUAGAGAGGACUAGAUCCUCUCCUUCCCCAGAGAGGAACAGAAACUGCUUAAAGAUGUAAAGACAAUCCCAACUCCAUAAAUUGGAGGAAUUUUAUAGCAAGGUCAAAAAGAGCCCAACUUUUAGUGCUACUGUAUGAG
Trachemys scripta elegans is the source of this 979-nucleotide long non-coding RNA. RefSeq lists it as uncharacterized. NCBI's taxonomy places the organism in Eukaryota, Metazoa, Chordata, Testudines, Emydidae. The record is from RefSeq and is a predicted model, not a curated record. The transcript is spliced from 4 exons.